UCAAUCCGUGCUCCAAUUCUGAGAACAUCGCCUCCUAUCCCGGAAGCCUAGCCCUAUCCUCCAUCUGGCCAUUCUCUCUCCGACUCUCCCCCACCCCAGCCACCGCCACCACUGUCAUCUCCUCUCCUCCCUUUUUUCGGGUAUUCUUUUCCCCACUUCUUCGCGCUCGCUAGGCGCUCCCUCCAUUCCUAGCUGAACGUGAAGACGGACAACUAGACGAGCAAUAUGAGAGCGGUUGACCAGAGGCGGUGAAGUGAGAUGGGUAAGUCCCAGGAUUUUAGACGACUGUCAAGUUUAGUCAUCCAUUCAUUCCCUUGCCAAAUCAAUUCGGGGAAUUUAGUGGCUUAUGUAAUUCAUAUUCCUCUAGUACUGCGGUUCGGCAAUACCAGCAUUGUUGCAAGUGAAAGAAAAAACAUUCGUCUUCAAUGGGACGGUUGACGCCGCCGCGGCGGAGUCUAGAGGAGCCAACCCUGUGGCGGAAUUCCGGGGCAAGGACUGCAGUGCCGCCGACCUCUUUCACUCCUUCGUCGACCAAGACAACCUUGUUUUUUAUGUUUUUUGGUUACUUUACUCUGACUUGCCUAUGAAUCUGACCAUCUGGUGCAGUGUGUCAAUUAAUUUCAAUGCAUCAAAAAUUUGCAACACGCCAUGUGUUUGUUUUCAUAUUCUUAGGACCAAAGGGUCUCCUUUUUGCAGCAUGUACUUUCGUAUCGAUAUGUAAGUGAGUCUUCUAAUGUCAAAGUAAAACUCAAUUCCAGGUUCUUGUGUUGGAUGCAUCAAAUCUUGGGAUGAUCAAACCAAACACCAUAGCGGAAAAUGGUUCAGGAUAUAUAUGCUUGGGAACUAGUGCUACAUGGAUGCUUUCAAGGUACUGAACUGAAUCUCUCAAGCUCUGGUGAUUGCUAUUGACAGUAAGUAGUGCCUGAGCACAUGCGAGUGGAUUAGGUACAAAGAUGCCAAAUAUUUUUGCCACUUAGCAAUUACCAAAUUUUCUUUUCCACAAAACUCCAAUCAAAUUUGAGAUUAGAAAUGGAUUUAAUCGAAUACAAAGGAAAAUAAUGUAGUGGAUUGCCUCUUCAGUUGAAGAAUUAGAUUUGUUAUUCCGUUACAAUUAGGAUAAUUUUUACCACUUCCUAUAUCUUGAGCGUUACUAAACAUAUGUAUCCAUACUAAACACAUAUGUAUCCAUGAUACAGAUACCAUAAGAACCAUUGAGAGUUUCUGCGUUAGUAUCACUCUGAGGCAUUUCUGUUACUAAUGCAGGUGCCGUGCUAGGGAAACAACCAAAAUAGGUAAACGUUCAAAUUUCUACCUCCCUUGUCUUACUUUAAGAAGUGGUGGUGACAAUUGUAGGUUAGCUAUCCCGAAAUAUUAUUUGUGACUGACUGAUGUUUAAAAAUGAUGCAGAUACAAAUGUAUUGUUUAACCACCUUGCUACUAAGGAAAUAAUCCUGCUACUGAACAAAUAAUAGAUCACAUCAUUCACCUAGAAAAACAGAUGAUGUCCCAGAAUCUAAUACGUCUAGGGAUAAGGGUCGAAUCUAUUCAACAUAGUCGAAAAUGUUAAUUCCCAUAUACUGACAUACUGUAUUGUGAACAAGAGAUAAUGUAAUCCAUAGUAAGAGGGACAGAUAGGAGAAACUUAGAAACCCAAAGCUCUAAAUGGUAAUUCAAUUUAACAUGGAGGCACAGGAUCAUAUACCACACAUCGACAUCAAUAUUGACUAAUUCCUUGCUUAUUUUCAAUAGGAUGAAAGAGUGUCGAAUGCUUCUUCAGACACUAUUUCUUGGUUCGUCAAUUCUAUUAACCCAAAUGCAUUUUUUCUCAAAUGUGGCAAAAAAUGAUUCUCUCACCAAUUGUCAGCACGCCUGUUUCUAGCAAAGUUCUAGAGAAGGUAAGUUCUUUAGAUAGAUGCAAAAUCUAGUAUUAUUUUAUUCUUUUUUCACAUUCAUAUGACCUUUAUGAUGUCACAAUGUGAGGUGUUUAACUGUGUCUAACUAUUAAUUAUUGCCUUUUCCUAUUUGUUGUACAGGAAAAGAUGGAAUGAAACUCAUAUUUUGGUGGCCGCACAAGUGUGGAUACUUGAAUUCAUAUAUAUACUUAGUUAGGAUCGAAGUUAGUGCAAACAGUUGAUGAUCAAGUUUUUUAAUUAGUAUUUUAGUUUGGAUUAAGAGUACAUUUAUGUAUGAGUUAUAUGGCAUUGCUAAUUUAUAAGAUAUUGAAUGGUACUUAUAAAUAUUAUAUUAAUAGGAAUAUUAUUAAAUAUAUGUGUAUGUAUGUUGCUCUUUC
RNAcentral lists this long non-coding RNA (2290 nucleotides) under Zea mays. RNAcentral describes it as "long non-coding RNA (ZMAY_LNC000098)". The record is from RNAcentral. Lineage: Eukaryota; Viridiplantae; Streptophyta; Magnoliopsida; Poales; Poaceae.